UGGGGAAUAUUGGACAAUGGGCGAAAGCCUGAUCCAGCCAUGCCGCGUGUGUGAAGAAGGUCUUCGGAUUGUAAAGCACUUUAAGUUGGGAGGAAGGGCAGUAAGCGAAUACCUUGCUGUUUUGACGUUACCGACAGAAUAAGCACCGGCUAACUCUGUGCCAGCAGCCGCGGUAAUACAGAGGGUGCAAGCGUUAAUCGGAAUUACUGGGCGUAAAGCGCGCGUAGGUGGUUCGUUAAGUUGAAUGUGAAAGCCCCGGGCUCAACCUGGGAAUUGCAUCCAAAACUGGCGAGCUAGAGUAGGGCAGAGGGUGGUGGAAUUUCCUGUGUAGCGGUGAAAUGCGUAGAUAUAGGAAGGAACACCAGUGGCGAAGGCGACCACCUGGGCUCAUACUGACACUGAGGUGCGAAAGCGUGGGGAGCAAACAGG
This 429-nucleotide ribosomal RNA is filed under the name Pseudomonadota bacterium. Its description in RNAcentral is "Proteobacteria bacterium partial 16S ribosomal RNA". It matches the Rfam family "Bacterial small subunit ribosomal RNA", at positions 355 to 776 of the family's 1533-position model. The record is from RNAcentral. Lineage: Bacteria; Pseudomonadati; Pseudomonadota.